CAGUCGGCCCGGGUGGGAAUGGGGCCUGUUGAGAGCUUUCUGUAUCCAUGCUGCGGGUGCGAGGCAGCGCAUUCCUGUGCUUUGGGCUUUCCAGCGGGGGCUCUCUCUCCUCUCCGCUCCUGUAGCUCUGCUACAUUAUUCCAAAUCUGAAAAGCUCCUUUAACUUGCAAACUGUUUUAAUCUUGCUCAGUUCCCUUCUUUCUCAUACGCACCCCAACAACGCCCUGUUGAGCUUGCCCUGAAGCCGUGAAAGCGCAAGGGCUCUGCUGGAGGUGGGGAACAAGGUGGCAAAACCACUGUGAGGAUGCCUGGUACAAUACUCGGAGUUGGGCCUGGAGUCUUCAUCUUAGCACUGCUCUGGGUUCUCACCUUGUUGCUCUGUGUGUUGUUAUCCAGAGCGGCUGGACUUGCUAGGUUUUCUGUCAUUUUGGUUUUCUUUGCGGCUGUGAUAAUCACAUUGGCUCUGUUGCUUUUUCCUCGUGCCAGUGAAUUGCCAGAACCACCUGCUGAAAUUAAGAUUGUGGACACCUUCUUCAUCGGCCGUUUUGUCGUGCUCUCUUUUUUGAGUGUGACUUUUCUAGGAUGCCUCUUCAUGCUUUUGAUUCACCACGUCCUGCAACCUGUGUAUGCCAAGCCAGUGAGAGUUGCCUCAUAAGAGCAUAGAUGGUCCAUCUUUGGUGCUGCUUUGGCCUGGAGAAAAGACUUCUGCAACAAGUACUAGAAAAGUGAGAGAUGCUAAUGAGUCCCUCUGAGAAGUCACUUGGCUGAAUUGUUCCAGAAGAAAAAACUGGAAGCAGAUCAUUUUUCUUAGUCACCAGAUACUUUUUGUCCACUUCUAAAGAGUUGAGGGAAUGCAUCCCGUAUCUGUUUUAAUGUUUUCUCUCUGAAUCUCUCAUUGUUUUUUCCAGACCUGACACUUGCUUCUGCAUAUAUACAUGCACCUAUGCAUGCGCAAGAAAAAAUGUAUCUGAAUGGGUGAAACUAAGAUUUCAUCUGUCCAUAAAUUUAUGAAGUUUGAAGUUCUAAACUGGAUUCUAGCUUUCAUAGGUCAUGCCAUGAUUCCUUGCAUGCACCUUUUUAUCCCAUUCAUAACGGGAUUGUAAUUAGUCCCCAUGGAUGACACACCCAGAACUUUUAGGCAAAGUCCUGGAGGGCCACAAGUUGCCUAUUACUGCCCUACUAUACAAAUAAUAUGACUUGCUUGGCAAGCUCUCAUUUCUUUAGACAUGUAAAACACAUACCGUUGAUUUGUGUAUCUGAUGGUUUUCAAUCAUUGGCAGAGAAACCACAGAGAGUACUAAAAUCCCACCCUGGUCUGUGUGAUUUUUCCAUCCAGUCCUGUGCAGAGCUAGGUGUGGAUAAACCUAUUGAAAUCAAUCAGCUGAGGUAUGCUUUAAAUGCAUGAAAUGUUCUCAUGACUGGCAACAUAGACAUAUUGAGUAGCAACUUGCUUUUAACAGCAGAACAGAAGCUCAACCUUCUCCAGAAUGUGAAAACCAUAUUAAGUACAAAAUUUGGCACGUGCCUGGUGGCAUUGCCAAAGUGGGGGAUACACAGAGUCCUAAAGAUGCUCAGUGUUGGAUCUGAUAAUGAAUAGGGGUCUGGAAAUCGCUUCAGUUGUCUUACACCAGAAUCCACUCUAUUACUGUCAGUGAAUGCCAUUCUCUGCCAUUUUUGCUUUGCAUAUUUUUUUAGGAUGGGGUGUCCAAAAAGCAGAUCUUAUUCCAGCCUUCUACGUAGGUUUUUGGGGUCAGUGAUUCUGUAACUUCUGAGUAUUAAAUAUACUUUUUGCUUUGAGUUAUCCUCUUAGUUCUUGUUCAUUCAUAAUCCGCAGGCAAUUCUAAUUUCCCCUGGACUGAGAUAUCCCAUUUUGCUGGCACUAGCUGUAGAAUAAUUUUCAUUUGGCCUAAAAAAUUAAACUUGAAAUGGAAGAACAGCCCCCUUUUCUCCUAGCGAAAGAGGUAUGUGAGAUGGCAAAGGGCUUUUUCUAACAAGAUUGUAGAUACAUUUUCUAACUUCAUUAAAGGUACUUGCCCUGGGAGUGAAUAAAACCCCUCACAGAAUAAUUCUAAAAUAGCUGAACCUCUUUUUAACAAGAGGAAUAAGUAGGAAAGUAAUUGGCCAGCUAAGGAAUACUUAAAAACCCAGCAAAUAGAAGGGAAAGCUUCCUAAAAUAGAUUGUCAGUGUUUCCAUAUCACAUAUUAAUUGGCAACAGCCCAUUUGGAAAGCCAUAAAAACCUGGGGAGGUGGCAAGAAAUUGCAAAUACAAAGUUGCCAGUUCUCCUGAUUUCAUUUUUUAGAAAAGUCUCUCAGACAGAAAUCAGAAUACUCAUGAUGAUAGAGUAAUAAGGGUAUAAUUUCAUUAUUACAAAGCAAAGUUUGAAAAGUGUGAAUUUGGCUCAAAGUCCAAAUAUUCAAAGUAGCGAAUAACCCAUUUUACAUAAAAAAUGCAGCUGUCACAAUUCAGCACCAGGUUACAUAUUUAUGGACAGCUUUGCAUCUAAGUAUUUCUGAUGAUUUAGGCACACUUAAUGAGCUUAUGCAUGUCUAAUUCAGCAGGUCCUUGACCAUUGGUGUAGGAAAUUUACUGCCACAAGGAAUAAUAAUGACUCCUAGCACAUAUAAUUCUUUGCUGAUAAAAUAGAGGAAUCACAGGUUCCCUGUUUUGAUGGAAGGAGCUUCCUCUGAUAGGAGUCCAUUGGAGAAUAAUCUUCAUAUCCAACCCAGUUUAUGCUAACUUGGAUGAAUGGAAAAUAUAAAUGUGGCAAAUUAAAGGGAAACUGGAUAAAAGGGCAGAGAUUGUUAGCUAGUAUGGAAAUAAAGCUGGACAUUCUGACACGAUGUAUUCUCUACCCAGCUGUUGAUGCUGCUCCAUAAAGUUUGCUCAAGCUUCCAAGCUAGGUGACUUGGCUGGCAAGCUGCCAUUUCAAAUUUCACACAGUGACCUGGAGCAAUGCUGCAUCGAGUGCAUGAUGAGGAGCUGAAAUGGCAACAUGCCAACCAAGCCACUUCUGCCAGACAAGCCACGGGUAGGGUGACUGUGUGUCCUACUUUACAGAGAAGGGUACUCUUUUUGGAGGUCUGUCAGGCCCCCUCUGAAGGGCUGCCGGUCCAAAUCUAGUUUCAAGUGCAAGAACCGUUUGAAGGAAAAGUGGGGGGCUUGGGGUUUCCCAUCAACAGUAGCUGGACAGCUGGUGGAGCAGGCACAGAGAUCAUUAAGCACAGUUUUCUACAUUAUGAUGAAAUGUAUUGUCCUUUUAUUUCCAUUACAGUAAGUUCUAAGUUUAGCACAUGUAAUUUUAUUGCAAAUUUGUGCUCUCUUCUGCCCCUGCCUUUUGUUUUGUUUUGUUUUGUUUUGUUUUGUUUUGUUUUUGUGAUGGGGAAGUUGGCCCACUAGUUAGACUCACACUGAUAUUGGAGGGGGCCUUGCCAAGGACACUUCAGUGAGAGCCUCCUCGUGUCUGAAAAAAGACAUACCCAGGGGUGGGAUAGACCAGGAAUGGACCUUUCUGACAGAGAGCCACAUCCUUCUGGUCUGAGAAAGACUUCAAAACCCACCAUCCCAUGUUCUCUUGCUUUUUAAAGUCGUCCAGCUGUUCCUAAGUUUAAUAAAGUGCAUCCUACGUAUUAACUUCCAAGCCUGAGUGUUGGCUCCCUUCCUCCCUCUCCAUUUGUGGGACUUGUGUGUAAGUCUUGUUCAGGCCCAGAGAGACUUAAUUAAAUGUGUUAAUUCUGCAGCCUCCUGCUGUAAUUUGUCAAGUAUUUUCUGUUUUAAGUCUCACAACCCUAAGGUCAGAGACGGAGCGACCCGGGAGACCAAAAUGCUCCACUGCUUGAUUUCCGUAUCUUUCUACCUUAACACUGGAUUUGUUUGUCUUUUAUUUUCUCACACAAGGAUUGGCCCACUUAGCCAACACAGGUACACCAGUGGGCAUUUCUGGUAAUGACAUUUUCAAGCAUACCAGGGGGAAAAGAGCACGAGUUACAAUUGAGGAGUGGGCAAGUUACGGGUUUCCAGAUGUAAUUGGGCUGCAACUCUCCUCAUCCCUGUGCACUGGCUAUGCUGGCUGGAACUGAUGGGACUCCAAGUCCAGCAACCUCUGGGCUCCUCACCCCAGCCAGAGCUGGUGUUGUUAGGUCUGUUACAGUGUUAAAAUUACAUAAUGAUCAAUGCUGGAGCAGUUAUCUUACCGAGCUAGAUCAAACAAGUGUCAGACCACUAGCUACUGUUUUUAGAAGGCUACCAUGAUGUGGUGGUAAGGAAACAGUUUAAUUAACUUAGUGGUGGGUUGGGGGCUUAGACUGAGGGUCCCCCUGAAUGCAUCCACCUCAGCUGGUGUACUUGUCUCAUAGCACUCAUGGGAGAUACAGCAAUGAUGGCUGCUGGCCAUGGUAGCUGUGGGAAGUCUUCUGGAAUCCCCGCUCAACUCAGGAUCUGAGACAAUGAGUCCCUGGAUGGUAGCUGCUAAGGAGGGUCGUGGGAGAGAGCGGCCACCUCUCUCCCUGUGGGCUUCCCAUGGGUACCUGGUCGGCCAUUGUGGGAACCAGGUUGCUGUACCGGGUAGGCCUUUGGUCACAUCGAGCAGGGUUCUUAGACGGAAGAUAGAAGCAUUUGGUUGCUGAUAUGCAUCUCCCUGGGAGACUGUGUGGCAUCUGAUUUUAUUCUAAUUGCCGAGUGAGAAGGAGGAAGUUAGCACAGGUCCCAGUUGCCUUGAGGGCUCAACCAGGUUGGGCCAGACUCGCUGGCUGGGGAAUUUUUGUUAUUUAUUUCAUUUCUUAUUGCAUUCAUAUCCUGUCUUUUUCAAUCUUGCAAGGAGCCCAGAGUAGGCUACAGGGUCCUCUUCCUUCUCUCCAUUUUAUUCUCAUAACAACCCUGUGAGGUAGAUUAGGAUGAAAAUCACUGACUGGCCCAAAGGCACCCAGUGAGCUUCAUGGCCAAGCCAGGAUUAGAACUUGGACCUGUGGAGUCCUAGUCCAAACUUCUCACUGUCACUGGAGAAGAAAGGCAGCAAGCCAGGUCCUGUCCCCCCAAAUGGUUGAGAAUAAAUCUAGCGAUGGUUCAUUAGGCCUUCACAGAAGGUGCCCCUUCUCAGUUGAGCCCACUUGAAGGGGAAACAGUAUGCAAGGACAAGAAGGGUCGAGGUCCUCCCCUCUUACCCAUGGUCUAUCUGAGCCGUUUGUCUAGCCUGGAAGAAUAAGAGGAGAGAUGCUGUGCAGGAUGGCCGCUUACGCACUGCCAAAAAAGAAGGAAGUGCAUCACACACACAGAGGCUUGCAGAGUUUUGCAAACAUUUGCCUGUGCUAAUUUUUAUGUAUUUAAGUAAAUUUCUGAAUAAUUACUAUAAUUUCAGUAGAAACACAAACUAAGCACAGUGAGGAAGGUUUUGACUAGCUGUCCUCUGUUUCCUACUAUGUUUGCUGUCCAGGUACUAACUCUGGAUGGGCAUUCACAAGGCCUCUGCUGGACUUCCUUCUUCUACCAUUUAUCAUGAAACCCUACUUCAGCUGGACUCAAGGAGUGCCCUUUGCCGUCCAAAGGACAGGCCACAAGCAUAAAAUAAUCUUUAUGGCGCAUGUGUGCUCCUUCCCACUUUCACUUUACUUCGUUCGUGUGGGUUCUAGGAGCACGGGCAGGGGACAUGGCCAAAGAAGGCUGGACAGGUGCAUGCAGGGCAUCUGUCAGUGGGCUGCACGCCAUUCAAGGGCUGCCAGUUCCCAACCUCUAAUUAUCUUAGAAGGAAACAAUCCUGUUUUCUUUUGAUGCCCUAUUGUCCCAUUCUUUUCACACAAAAACCAAUUCCCCCCACUUUUUAAGAAAGGGGUGGGGUGGGCAAAAUUCCAAGCAUCUGGGAGGUCUGCAAGAAAUGGGAAAAAAGCCACUUUAGAAACGGGACCACUCCUCUGUUAUUCUUACUUUGGCUCCAUCUAGUGACUUAUCCAAGGGGAAAUACAGAAAGAGGCAUACAUACAGGACGGCAUUCUGUUUUCCAGGUAGUUCAGCCUUUAUAUCGCAAUGCCACUCACUGCUUGUUCUCACUGUAUUUCUUUUACACGCCCACCCUGUAUAUCACGCGGAUGUUUGGAGCGACAUGAAAUGAAUGCACAGGCAGGACAGGUUGGCUUUGUGAGGAGACUAGCAGACACCAUUCAGUUCUAAAGUAAACACAGUAAAAGACACCAAGAGCCUCUUAAUUCAGGGGUGAGGCAGACUUUCAGGAGUUCCCAUGUUGGUUUUACUAAAACUGAGAGAUUCGUGACCCAGAUCUGGUGCCAAAGUCAUACAUGUAUAAUGAAGGAUCCUGAGAUCAGGAAUUUCAAGUACUAGAG
Molecule: RNA transcript, 6328 nt
Organism: Varanus komodoensis (Komodo dragon)
Lineage: Eukaryota; Metazoa; Chordata; Lepidosauria; Squamata; Varanidae
Gene: TMEM218
Gene name: transmembrane protein 218
Exons: 6
Source: RefSeq, a predicted model, not a curated record